Molecule: non-coding RNA, 1257 nt
Organism: Anas platyrhynchos (mallard)
Lineage: Eukaryota; Metazoa; Chordata; Aves; Anseriformes; Anatidae
Source: RefSeq, a predicted model, not a curated record
CGAGGCACAGCGGGCUGCAGCCGCACCCCUGCCCUCUCACACUCAUUUUGCACACACACAUGCCCUUUUUAUAAAAGCAAAACUAAACACAGAAGAGCAGUGACUUUGCUGUAGAUUAUCUGGUGAAUUAUGUUUACAUGGAGAGCUCAAGGACUGUGGGCAAAAGGCAAUGUCUGGAGCACAGGGUUUCUGUGAUGAAAUUGGCAGAUGGAAGAAUUGUUAUGCUGGGUUUAUUUCUCAAUCAUUUUAGUCAAAAGAUAAAAUUGCAAUUAUGAUGUAAAAAUGAAACUAAAACUUGUUUUAGAGUUGCUUGAGUUUAAUUAAAAACAAGAGUCUAAAAGCCCUGGUUUUAAACAUUUUCUUCCAGGAGGAACGUCAAGCGGCUCUCUUUACAGAGACACAGAACCUCAGAGGACGCUGGGCUAGGCGCAGCCUGCCUCCAGCACAGCCCCAGCCCCGCCGGACCCACCGCCAUCCUCCUGCUGCCAGCAACAGCCUCGAGGGCAGGACCAAGCCCGUGAAGCUCUGAACAGUUUACGUGCAAUUUGAACUUUCAAAAAUAAAGUUAAAAUGAAAUAAAAUAUUACCUAAAAACUGAGCAGGACAAGGAGAAGACCUCUCCCUGCCCUGGUCAGCUCCAGCAAGAUGAGACAGGAGGGGAGAGGAAAGCUUUGACCAAACCAGGACACAGGAAUUGUCUUCCCUGCUAUUGACAAAGGGACCUGCAAAUUUUGUUCCUCUUUGUCCUUUAUCUUCUCUGAUGACUUAGCAGCAAAUGCUGAAAAUAAAUUUCCAUAUUUUGUCUUUAAGUUGAUAUGGUUGAAAAUAAAAACCAAACGAAACAACAACAAAACUACCAUGUCCCAGAGCUUAACAUCAAAGAUUUCAGAAUCCACAUUAAACUUAUGAAGAGGCACUGCAAGCCUGCCAAACGUGGUAUUUUCAACCAGCUUUGACCCUAGAUGCUCCUUUCCAGUCCUCUCCUCGUGAGUGAGUCACCAAUUAAGACAGUCACAUACUUCUCAAAAGCAGUCUAACGUGAGGCUCUUAAGAUUUACUCCACAAAACAUUUUCCAAAAAUAAUGGCCUAGAACUUUUUUGAAUUGUGGAAGAAAACUGAUUUGAACUUCUGUAUGAGAAAAAAAAAACAAACAACAACAACAACAGAAAUAAAAUAAUUAAAUGUUUAUAACAAAUAAUAACUACAGCAAAAAGAUGUUGCUGUAGUAAAUAACUGAUUUUACCUGGACAUAACAU